This 329-nucleotide ribosomal RNA is filed under the name uncultured bacterium. Its description in RNAcentral is "bacterial SSU rRNA". It matches the Rfam family "Bacterial small subunit ribosomal RNA", at positions 568 to 898 of the family's 1533-position model. The record is from RNAcentral.
CGCGUAGGUGGUAGUGUAAGUCUGAGGUGGAAUCCCAGGGCUUAACCCUGGAACUGCCUUGGAAACUGCAUUACUUGAGUCAGUGAGGGGAGGGUAGAAUUCCUGGUGUAGCGGUGAAAUGCGUAGAUAUCAGGAGGAAGGCCUGUGGCGAAGGCGGCCCUCCGGUGCUGGACUGACACUGAGGCGCGAAAGCGUGGGGAGCAAACAGGAUUAGAUACCCUGGUAGUCCACGCCCUAAACGGUGGGCACUAGGUGUAGGGCUCGUAAGGGUUCUGUGCCGAAGGGAAACCAUUAAGUGCCCCGCUGGGGAGUACGGCCGCAAGGUUGAA